This 496-nucleotide ribosomal RNA is filed under the name uncultured bacterium. RNAcentral describes it as "partial 16S ribosomal RNA". It matches the Rfam family "Bacterial small subunit ribosomal RNA", at positions 28 to 506 of the family's 1533-position model. The record is from RNAcentral.
GAUGAACGCUGGCGGCGUGCCUAAUACAUGCAAGUCGAGCGAACGGACGAGAAGCUUGCUUCUCUGAUGUUAGCGGCGGACGGGUGAGUAACACGUGGAUAACCUACCUAUAAGACUGGGAUAACUUCGGGAAACCGGAGCUAAUACCGGAUAAUAUUUUGAACCGCAUGGUUCAAAAGUGAAAGACGGUCUUGCUGUCACUUAUAGAUGGAUCCGCGCUGCAUUAGCUAGUUGGUAAGGUAACGGCUUACCAAGGCAACGAUGCAUAGCCGACCUGAGAGGGUGAUCGGCAACACUGGAACUGAGACACGGUCCAGACUCCUACGGGAGGCAGCAGUAGGGAAUCUUCCGCAAUGGGCGAAAGCCUGACGGAGCAACGCCGCGUGAGUGAUGAAGGUCUUCGGAUCGUAAAACUCUGUUAUUAGGGAAGAACAUAUGUGUAAGUAACUGUGCACAUCUUGACGGUACCUAAGCAGAAAGCCACGGCUAACUACGU